Molecule: ribosomal RNA, 717 nt
Filed under: Brevipalpus lewisi
Lineage: Eukaryota; Metazoa; Arthropoda; Arachnida; Trombidiformes; Tenuipalpidae
Description: partial 28S ribosomal RNA
Source: RNAcentral
CUCUUUUGCACGGUGUUACCGGGGCAUCAGGCUGUGGAGUAUGCUUUCAUACAGCAUCAAGAUCACCAAUGCUAGGGUAACCAGGUAUUGGCCUUGAGCUCCACAGUCUACGGUAUGUUCCAGGAUACUCUAGGUAACAUUCGUGUGGGGAGUGCAUUUUCUCAUCUUCCGAGCUCGAGUCUCGACCAGUGUGGCGGAGUAUUGAAAGAAUACUCGUCCACCCGGUGACCAUAGAAAGGUAUGCUAACACCAUACCUGAUCUACACUCGGUUAUCAAUGCUACUGUACAUCCUUGCGGUACACAGACUAGCAGUGAGCCGUGUUAGGCAACUAUGGUCACAUACACACUGGACAAGAAUCUCUGCGUAUGCAGGGUCAACACAAUGCCCCGUAAGGUGCUCAAGUGUACCCGAGUAGUGUAUUCGUUAUUGAAUGCUGUUUCUGUACCCAGUGCAGGAACGAUUCAUGGUUACGCUACUCUUUGGUGGUGUGCUAGUACAUCUUGCGAGGUUAAUUGGACUGUUGAUGUGAUUCGGAGGCAAGUAGAUCGGUACUCUAUCCGACCCGUCUUGAAACACGGACCAAGGAGUCUAACAUGUAUGCAAGCCGAACAGUCUUGAAUAGGCUCGGUAGGCGAAUUGAAAGAAAUAUUGGGUAUGAUGCGUUCUCAUAUAUCAAUGCAUUGGGCUCGAAAGUGCUUCCAAUGUUGAUACGCCG